Molecule: small RNA, 152 nt
Filed under: Gopherus agassizii (Agassiz's desert tortoise)
Lineage: Eukaryota; Metazoa; Chordata; Testudines; Testudinidae
Description: TUC338 (ENSGAGG00000010520.1)
Source: RNAcentral
GCAGAAGGAAGUCUUGUUUAUGUACAGAACAGGUACAGUGCAGGCAGCAAUUGUGCAAGCUUCCCCAUAUCACUCUGCCAAUGCAUCUCACUGCUGAUUUGGAGGAUCAGCUGUAAAGAUGUGUUGGUAUGUCCCACUCAUUCUUAGCCUGU